GACGAAGGGGGCUAGCGUUGUUCGGAAUUACUGGGCGUAAAGCGCGUGUAGGCGGUUGCCCAAGUCGGGUGUGAAAGCCUUGAGCUCAACUCAAGAAAUGCACUCGGUACUGGGUGACUAGAGGACCGGAGAGGAUAGUGGAAUUCCCAGUGUAGUGGUGAAAUACGUAGAGAUUGGGAAGAAUACCAGUGGCGAAGGCGGCUAUCUGGACGGUUUCUGACGCUAAGACGCGAAAGCGUGGGGAGCAAACAGG
Molecule: ribosomal RNA, 253 nt
Filed under: uncultured bacterium
Lineage: Bacteria
Description: partial 16S ribosomal RNA
Rfam family: Bacterial small subunit ribosomal RNA
Source: RNAcentral